RNAcentral lists this ribosomal RNA (274 nucleotides) under uncultured bacterium. Its description in RNAcentral is "partial 16S ribosomal RNA". It matches the Rfam family "Bacterial small subunit ribosomal RNA", at positions 523 to 796 of the family's 1533-position model. The record is from RNAcentral.
AUACGGAGGGGGCUAGCGUUGUUCGGAAUUACUGGGCGUAAAGCGUACGUAGGCGGACUGAUCAGUUGGGGGUGAAAUCCCAGGGCUUAACCCUGGAACUGCCUUCAAUACUGUCAGUCUUGAGAUUGGAAGAGGGGAGUGGAAUUCCUAGUGUAGAGGUGAAAUCCAUAGAUAUUAGGAGGAACACCAGUGGCGAAGGCGGCUCACUGGUCCAAUACUGACGCUGAGGUACGAAAGCGUGGGGAGCAAACAGGAUUAGAAACCCUAGUAGUCC